This is a long non-coding RNA of Cyprinus carpio carpio, 902 nucleotides long. Lineage: Eukaryota; Metazoa; Chordata; Actinopteri; Cypriniformes; Cyprinidae. The record is from Ensembl.
CACACGACCAUCCCUCUGACCAUACUUAGACACGGUCAUGGUCUAGAGAGGAAGGAUAGACUCUGUAUACCUUGCUGGAGGACACACCUUGCGAACAGUUACUGAAUGUACAUUGGUAAGAAUUACGACUCUGGUGACACUUGGUGAUGGGCUAAUCAGCCUUCAGGAGACACAUGACAGCUUUAUGACCAGAAAAAUCAACACACACAAUGACAGAAACACAAACCACACACACACUUGUACAGAUACAUAAGCUGAAAUACCUGAUCAGACAGCCUGUAAUUACCACACACUUGCAUUUCUGGUUUUUGUUGAAGAAAUGACAGCAGUUUGAGAUGUCUGCAGGUCAAAGAAUCAAAACAUACAAGAGAGAAGGUCUUGGUUUGGGGGUAUAAUAUUACAGUUAAAACUGAAUAAUUGUAAAUCAUGCUUCUAUAGGAGUGUUCCGCAUUGUGCUUUUAUUUCCAACAGCAUGUGGUUUGUCAGAGAAUUAGUCAGUGACAUGAAAUGAAACAUUUUUGCACGUUAGGUAUAUUUUGUUUAUUUUAGUUACCCACCUUAAAUGCUGAACUGCUUUCUUUACUGCACAAUAUGGGCUGAGGGGCAUGCAAUAAUGAUCUGUGUUGACAGUUAUAAACGCUGUUCUAUGACAGGAUCAGUCUAUGGACAGGAUAUGUUACAUUUUUAAAACAUAAUCAGUGUGCAGAUUAUUUAACCCUCUGUGGUAUAGAAUUGCCAUAUGGCAACAAUUAAUUUUACACUUAUUUCCUUGUUAUUCUGAAAAAGAUAUCUGUAGCAAUAUGGUAAUUAAAAUGGGCGGCCUUAAGGUUGUCAAUGAUGUGCUGUUUUUAAGUCAAAUGACAUUUGAAUGUUCUUUCAAAACACUUUUUCCCACUUUCACC